Non-coding RNA from Nicotiana tabacum (common tobacco), 1480 nucleotides. The record is from RefSeq and is a predicted model, not a curated record. Lineage: Eukaryota; Viridiplantae; Streptophyta; Magnoliopsida; Solanales; Solanaceae.
UUUUGUUCUAUUUUAUACAGCAAAAAACCAACAAAAUUCACACUCUGGGAAGAUUUUAUUGAUCAUGAUGGGAACAAACUACUCGAACUGCUUAAAAAAGAAUACCCAAUCAUUUUUGCUAAAAAAGUUGCAAGACCAAAGUCGUCGUCACGUAAAACGCCUCAAAUGCAUGCAAGAUAGAGUAACAAAUUCAAUACAGGAUUGACUAACAGAUUCAGUACAAGAAUCGAAAUCAAUCCUCCAUACCCACAAGCAAAUGCGAUGAGAACAUGGGCCCAACAAAAUGAACAAAUGCUUAUUGCGUACACAAUGAAGAGCACAGGUCCAACAUGCUCUCUUUUAUUUGUUCCUUUCGAAGAAGAGAUAGUACCGAUUGCAGAAAUCCGACAGCAAAAUCCAGGUCAAAUAUUCUACAUACAUGCUGAAGUCGCACUACAAAAUGAGAACCAACGAUUUUGUAUCCUAGCUUGUUCAGACUGCAAACAACACUUCACACGAGCUAUCUCACUAUUGCACUAAUUGCCGUCAAGCUACCCAAUUGGUUCCCAGGUGCCAAUUUGAAGUGACGCUCACAGAUCAGAGCGGUUCUGCAACAGCAACUAUUGUCGACGAGUAUGCAGAAAAAAUAUUACUUCUCACUUCGGAAGAGAUUUAUGAUAUCUGCAAUGUCAAGAAAGGACUGUUGCCUCUUGCGAACGCACAAAAGCUACUGACUGGCAAGAUCUUCAAGAUUCAAAUAAAAAAGCUGUUUACAAGAAAUAAUGAGGCAGGAAAGUUAGUUAUUUUAUCUUUCAUAGAUAAAAGUAAUUCGGUUGUCUCACAAAUGCCGGCCACCAUCAAGGAUGUUGCGGAAGGAAGUAAACAAAAAAUUGAACCCGCUGCCCCAGAGAAGCAAGAGCACCCACACAUAACAAUCAAAGGCAACGGUUCCUACAAAUGUAAGGCGGAAAUGAAUAUUUCCCCUCCGAAAAAUUGCUGAGAGCAUUUUUGCCAGUGAAACAUCUUUUGCUACUAUUUUGGGAUGCAAGUAAAGCCACAACUUGCUGUUGCUUUUGAAUACGGUUAAGCUCACUUUUACGACUGCUUUCUAGAUAUUCCUCUACUCGGAAUAUGUCGCAUCGACACGAGUUCGUGCUCUGUUUUUGGGUUGGUCAAUCCUUCUGGAGCAGCCUGUCUUGGGUACUCAGAGUUACGAUCUUGUAGAACGUACUUAAUUCCAGCUGACAAAUUUUGUACAAAAAGGCUUUCUUAGUUCCUCCAAGUCUGUAGGGGCAAAAACGAACAACUUUGGCUAUAUGCAAAGAGGCCUUCUUAGUCCAUAUUUCACAUCAGAACAUAAACAAUGGAAUCAAAGACAUAAUAUGCUUGGCUAUGUGCUAACCUUUACCUAGCCUACUUGGUUUUGUUAAAGCAAGCUUAACCGAAUUACAUUACUGAUGUUGUUUACAGAGCAUUACAUAUGUUGUCUUUAACUCUUUUU